This 1076-nucleotide long non-coding RNA is filed under the name Capsella rubella. Its description in RNAcentral is "long non-coding RNA (CRUB_LNC001185)". The record is from RNAcentral. Lineage: Eukaryota; Viridiplantae; Streptophyta; Magnoliopsida; Brassicales; Brassicaceae.
CUCGAUUGGUUUUGCUAAUCCUAUUUCAUUUAUUUCAUCUUUUUUUUUUCGGUUGAUAUUAUACUAUUUGGAAUUUUAUGAUAUGCUGAUAAAAUAAAUAACUUCCCUGAUACGAGCGAUGUUUAUCUCCACCGAUCUUGGGAACGUCAUGGAUGGAUCCCACGUCAUCCUCCUUCUUUUAAUCUGCUUCGUCCGUUUCUACCCUUAUUCGGUUCCACAUCUAAUCUAUCCAACAAAAAAAAAAAAUUUAAACCAUAUCCCUUUGCGGUUUACCAAAAAAAAAAGAAGACAAUAUCCCUUGUGUAAAGGAUUUGUAAUAUAUAGUGUGACAUGACUGUUUCGGCGUCUUUUAUUUUAAUAUUACUUAAUUUAUCAAAUCCCUAAAUUGUAUCAUACAUAUUUUAAUUAAAUCAGAUAAACAUAUGGUUUAAAUAAAAUACUUACGUUAACGAAAAGCUAAAAAGGUUUUUUUUAUUUUUCUUCCAGUUUUACCUGACCCGAAUCCAAAGAUGAUAUCAUCGACGACUUGCCUCAAGAUUUCGAGAUUACGAUAUUUAAAAAAGAAGAAAAAAACUCAUAUAAUGUGUGUAGUAGAUAUACAAAUUGAAGUCAAUAAUUGUUAACGGAUAGAAGGAAGGAAGGAUGAUGACUCGUGCUGGAUGUAAAAAGCCGUAGCUGUAAUUGGACCCUGGUAGGCCCUUCUUACGUCUCUGAGCCCACUUGCUAACUUACUCAUAUCUUAUUUUUAGCUUUAUCCAUAUUUGCAUCAGCCAUCAUACAUGGGAAAAUGUGUUCUGUCAAAAUGCUUAUCAACUUAUCAUUAAUCAAAUGGACAUUUUCUUAUCCCUAUACAUUAUUAUUCCAAAGGAAAAAAGUAAUUUCAAUCAAUCUCACAAAUCAUCAGAACGGGAAAAAUAAGUGUUUGCUUAAGCAGAUAGAGAGGAAUGAUUUGGUUUCGCUCUUUGUUUCUAUGAUUUCUUAGGAAACUUUGAAUCGUUGGAAGAUUUGAUAAGAUGACGUACGAUGAUUUUUAUAAGGCAAAAAGGAGAAGCCAAGUCACUAGUGUUGGUUUUGCC